RNAcentral lists this ribosomal RNA (1025 nucleotides) under Enterobacter ludwigii. Its description in RNAcentral is "partial 23S ribosomal RNA". It matches the Rfam family "Bacterial large subunit ribosomal RNA", at positions 890 to 1896 of the family's 2925-position model. The record is from RNAcentral. Lineage: Bacteria; Pseudomonadati; Pseudomonadota; Gammaproteobacteria; Enterobacterales; Enterobacteriaceae.
UCAUCUUCGGGGGUAGAGCACUGUUUCGGCUAGGGGGCCAUCCCGGCUUACCAACCCGAUGCAAACUACGAAUACCGAAGAAUGUUAUCACGGGAGACACACGGCGGGUGCUAACGUCCGUCGUGAAGAGGGAAACAACCCAGACCGCCAGCUAAGGUCCCAAAGUCAUGGUUAAGUGGGAAACGAUGUGGGAAGGCACAGACAGCCAGGAUGUUGGCUUAGAAGCAGCCAUCAUUUAAAGAAAGCGUAAUAGCUCACUGGUCGAGUCGGCCUGCGCGGAAGAUGUAACGGGGCUAAACCAUGCACCGAAGCUGCGGCAGCGACACUAUGUGUUGUUGGGUAGGGGAGCGUUCUGUAAGCCGUUGAAGGUGUCCUGUGAGGGGUGCUGGAGGUAUCAGAAGUGCGAAUGCUGACAUAAGUAACGAUAAAGCGGGUGAAAAGCCCGCUCGCCGGAAGACCAAGGGUUCCUGUCCAACGUUAAUCGGGGCAGGGUGAGUCGACCCCUAAGGCGAGGCCGAAAGGCGUAGUCGAUGGGAAACAGGUUAAUAUUCCUGUACUUGGUGUUACUGCGAAGGGGGGACGGAGAAGGCUAUGUUAGCCGGGCGACGGUUGUCCCGGUUUAAGCAUGUAGGCGGAGGUUCCAGGUAAAUCCGGUUCCUUGUUAACGCUGAGGUGUGAUGACGAGGCACUACGGUGCUGAAGUAACAAAUGCCCUGCUUCCAGGAAAAGCCUCUAAGCAUCAGGUAACAUCAAAUCGUACCCCAAACCGACACAGGUGGUCAGGUAGAGAAUACCAAGGCGCUUGAGAGAACUCGGGUGAAGGAACUAGGCAAAAUGGUGCCGUAACUUCGGGAGAAGGCACGCUGAUAUGUAGGUGAAGCCCCUGCGGGUGGAGCUGAAAUCAGUCGAAGAUACCAGCUGGCUGCAACUGUUUAUUAAAAACACAGCACUGUGCAAACACGAAAGUGGACGUAUACGGUGUGACGCCUGCCCGGUGCCGGAAGGUUAAUUGAUGGGGUUAGCGG